UUGGGUUUGGACAAGUUUGAGAUUAUAUUAAUUGAACAGUUAAUUCACAUAAACUGAUCAUAUUAAUACAAAAUUACCAUUGAAUAAUGCAGUUAUUAGUUUGUAAUACCCAAUUUAUGCCCGGCCCACAUACAUUACAAAAAACAAAUAAAUAAAAUAAUGAAUAAAAUUUAGUCCAUUUUAAAGUCCAAUUACAAUAGCCAAAUAAAAAAAAACCCAAAUACCCAAACUGCCCAAAAACCCGAAUAAACCCAUCAGACCCACUAAGCCCAAAUUUUACAAACCCAAUACCUAAGCCCAAUUAGCCCAUUUUGAAGGAGUAUUCCUUCAGUCGCCACAGCAGG
Molecule: long non-coding RNA, 344 nt
Filed under: Gossypium raimondii (Peruvian cotton)
Lineage: Eukaryota; Viridiplantae; Streptophyta; Magnoliopsida; Malvales; Malvaceae
Description: long non-coding RNA (GRAI_LNC007255)
Source: RNAcentral